AGGUGCGGCUGGAUCA
RNAcentral lists this ribosomal RNA (16 nucleotides) under Mycobacterium leprae. RNAcentral describes it as "partial 16S ribosomal RNA". Lineage: Bacteria; Bacillati; Actinomycetota; Actinomycetes; Mycobacteriales; Mycobacteriaceae. The record is from RNAcentral.